RNAcentral lists this long non-coding RNA (724 nucleotides) under Homo sapiens (human). Its description in RNAcentral is "HSALNT0324089". The record is from RNAcentral. Lineage: Eukaryota; Metazoa; Chordata; Mammalia; Primates; Hominidae.
UGGGGCUUCAGAAGCCAACACGAUGGUUUUCGGGCUCACAUCCCAAAGGCUGCUCUUCCUUUUAGCACCUGGGACCUACCAGGAACCUCAACCUCUAACAACAUUGGUCCCCGUUACCGUGGAGUUUGCGCCCAGCGUUCGCUGGAGGGCCGUUUGAAGAAUGAUUGUUGUCGUAAAGGCCUUUGAUAAUAAUAGAUACUGUUUACCCAGUGCUUGAUGCCAGGCAUUGCUACAAACACUGCGUACACAUUAUUCUAUUUAAUCUUCAUAACCCAGUGAGGAUAUCAACCAGGAUAUGGCAUUGCAUUGGAUCCCAACCAGGAUAUGACGUUACAUUGGAUCCCAACCAGGAUAUGGCAUUGCACUGGAUCCCAACCAGGAUAUGGCAUUGCACUGGAUCCCAACCAGGAUAUGGCAUUGCGUUGGAUCCCAACCAGGUUAUGGCAUUACAUUGGAUCCCAACCAGGUUAUGGCAUUGCAUUGGAUCCCAACCAGGAUAUGACAUUGCAUUUACUCAUCACGCCUCCUUAGGUUCCUCUUGGCUGUGACGGUUUCUCAGACUAUCCUUGUUUUUUAGGACCUUGACAGUUUUGAGGCAUACUGGUAUUGGAAAACCCAAGCAUUGACUCUCCAGACCAGCCUCGCACCUAAGAACGCCGUGGGAUGCAGUUUCAGACAGUGAGAAAUCUGCUGGGGAUGCCUGGGAAAGGGACAUACCUGGCAG